CGGAUCCUUCGGGAUUAGUGGCAGACGGGUGAGUAACGCGUGGGAAGCUACCUUGUGGUAGGGGACAACAGUUGGAAACGACUGCUAAUACCCUAUGAGCCCUAUGGGGGAAAGAUUUAUCGCCAUGAGAUGUGCCCGCGUUAGAUUAGCUAGUUGGUAAGGUAAUGGCUUACCAAGGCGACGAUCUAUAGCUGGUCUGAGAGGAUGAUCAGCCACACUGGGACUGAGACACGGCCCAGACUCCUACGGGAGGCAGCAGUGGGGAAUAUUGGACAAUGGGGGCAACCCUGAUCCAGCCAUGCCGCGUGUGUGAUGACGGCCUUAGGGUUGUAAAGCACUUUCAGCAGUGAAGAUAAUGACAUUAACUGCAGAAGAAGCCCCGGCUAACUUCGUGCCAGCAGCCGCGGUAAUACGAAGGGGGCUAGCGUUGUUCGGAAUCACUGGGCGUAAAGAGUACGUAGGCGGACUGAUAAGUUAGGGGUGAAAUCCCAAGGCUCAACCUUGGAACUGCCUUUGAUACUGUCAGUCUUGAGAUCGAGAGAGGUGAGUGGAACUCCGAGUGUAGAGGUGAAAUUCGUAGAUAUUCGGAAGAACACCAGUGGCGAAGGCGGCUCACUGGCUCGAUACUGACGCUGAGGUACGAAAGCGUG
Molecule: ribosomal RNA, 650 nt
Filed under: Alphaproteobacteria bacterium RtV04s
Lineage: Bacteria; Pseudomonadati; Pseudomonadota; Alphaproteobacteria
Description: bacterial SSU rRNA
Rfam family: Bacterial small subunit ribosomal RNA
Source: RNAcentral